This 74-nucleotide ribosomal RNA is filed under the name uncultured bacterium. RNAcentral describes it as "partial 16S ribosomal RNA". It matches the Rfam family "Bacterial small subunit ribosomal RNA", at positions 1459 to 1532 of the family's 1533-position model. The record is from RNAcentral.
ACGGUGUGCUUCAUGACUGGGCUGAAGUCGUAACAAGGUAGCCGUAGGGGAACCUGUGGCUGGAUCACCUCCUU